UGACUAGAGCAAGGAGGUCACACCUGUUCCCAUGCCGAACACAGAAGUUAAGCUACUUAGCGUCGAUUGUAGUCGAACUUCCGUUCCGCGAGAGUAGAACGUUGCCAGGC
RNAcentral lists this ribosomal RNA (110 nucleotides) under Staphylococcus aureus. Lineage: Bacteria; Bacillati; Bacillota; Bacilli; Caryophanales; Staphylococcaceae. The record is from RNAcentral.